AAAAAAUAUACCCUGAUUUUCAUGUCCAACGUUUGAAUGUCCGUCUUAUAUGAUUUUUUUUUACAAUUAGUACUUUUAUUGUUGUUAGAUGAUAAAACAUGAUUAAUACUUUAUGCGUGACUUGUUUUUUUAAUUUUUUUAUAUAUUUUUUAAAUAAAACGGACGGUCAAAUAUUAGAAAAAAAACAGGGUUUAUCUUUUU
This is a non-coding RNA of Oryza glaberrima (African rice), 201 nucleotides long. Lineage: Eukaryota; Viridiplantae; Streptophyta; Magnoliopsida; Poales; Poaceae. The record is from Rfam.